Molecule: unclassified non-coding RNA, 674 nt
Filed under: Hevea brasiliensis (rubber tree)
Lineage: Eukaryota; Viridiplantae; Streptophyta; Magnoliopsida; Malpighiales; Euphorbiaceae
Source: RNAcentral
UAUCAGGGCUUUUCCAGUUAGGAAGUUCUUAUGAGUGGAUUGUUACGAAGAAGUCCGGACGGUCAUCAGAAGCUGAUUUAGUUGCAAUGGUGGAAAAUGAAUCUGAAUCUUUGUUGAAGAAGAAUACUGUUUCAAGGUCAUCAUCAGAAUCAGGCCUUGCUGAACUUAACAAAUUAGAGAUGACCAAGAAAACGGUAAAGAGGAAGAGAAAUCGUAUAUACAGGAAAGAGCUUGCCCUUGCAUUUAUAUUAUUAACUGCCUCUGUCAGAAGUUUGUUAUCUGCUCAAGGGAUUCACUUCUAUUUCCUAUUGUUUCAAGGGUUUACUUUCCUUGUUGUUGGUCUUGAUUUGAUUGGCGAACAGGUGAGUUAAUCAUAAGAUUUUUACAAGAUAUUUGGCCAAGAGUUCAGUUGUGGCAAAUCCUUUCGGAAGGGCAGACCGUACUGCUUGUACAUGUGAUUGUGGUACCUGGCUCCCUAUUCCUACAUUUAUGUGGUAUUUUAGCGAAAGCUUCAUAACACCACUAUUUGGCGGUCAUAUGUUAUUCAAUUGAUGCCAAGAUGGAGAUUAAAAUCAAUACUGGUAGGAUUUGUCAUUUGCCUACCGCGUAGUUUGAUGUAAUUUAUUAAAUGUUUGCCUGUAAUAGUAGUGUAACCAUGAAGUAGUCUAUUUUUG